GAGACUCUGUGCGCGUGCAUAUCAAUAAGCGGAGGAAAAGAAACUAACUAGGAUUCCCUUAGUAACGGCGAGUGAAGCGGGAAGAGCUCAAAUUUGAAAUCUUCAAGGUUUUACCUUGACGAAUUGUAGUUUAAAGAAGUGUUUUCUGUUGGAGUUUUGGUAAAAGUUCUUUGGAAUAGGACAUCAUAGAGGGUGAGAAUCCCGUAUUUGACCAUUUCUUCCAGCUGUGUGAUACACUUUCAAAGAGUCGGAUUGUUUGGGAAUGCAGUCCAAAAUGGGUGGUAAAUUUCAUCUAAAGCUAAAUAUUGGCGAGAGACCGAUAGCGAACAAGUACCGUGAGGGAAAGAUGAAAAGAACUUUGAAAAGAGAGUUAAGCAGUACGUGAAAUUGUCAAAAGGGAAGCGUUUGACACCAGUGUUGUUUAGUUGAAAAUCAAUUCAAUAAUUUUUGAUUUUGAGUAGUAUUGACUUCAUCAGCUUGCUGCUUUCUUUUCGGAAAUUAUUGAAUGCACUUUUCAGUUAACAAGUCAACAUCAAUUUCUUUUGUUGUAAAAGGGUAAGAGGAAGGUGGCUUACGCUUCGGCGUAAGUGUUUAUAGCCUUUUACUUCUGCAAUCGGAGAGAUUGAGGACAGCAGCGUAGACUCCUUCGGGGGUUAGAUACACUUGUGCUAAGCUAUAGCCUUGUAUAGACAACUUGUUGACUAUGCUCAGUCAUGUAGCUUACUCGCUUGUGCUAUUUUACCUACGCUUAGGAUGUUGAACUCUAUCACACACAG
This 776-nucleotide ribosomal RNA is filed under the name uncultured Neocallimastigales. RNAcentral's name for it is "partial large subunit ribosomal RNA". It matches the Rfam family "Eukaryotic large subunit ribosomal RNA", at positions 23 to 621 of the family's 3401-position model. Lineage: Eukaryota; Fungi; Neocallimastigomycota; Neocallimastigomycetes; Neocallimastigales. The record is from RNAcentral.